Long non-coding RNA from Esox lucius (northern pike), 705 nucleotides. RefSeq lists it as uncharacterized. Lineage: Eukaryota; Metazoa; Chordata; Actinopteri; Esociformes; Esocidae. The transcript is spliced from 3 exons. The record is from RefSeq and is a predicted model, not a curated record.
UUGUAUCGAUGUUUCGGAAAGCGCCGUUCUGCCUUUCACUAGGGUACUAGCUUUAAUAAUUAUUUUGCGUUAAAUUGAUUUGUCCAAAAACUGGGGGAUAGAACUCUGAAAGUGCUUUUAAUCGUAUUUGACAAAACACAUUUGUUGAAACUGUAAUAUUGAAACAGGAGGCAGGACACAGGCCCAGGGAGAACGGAUGACUUUUAAUAAGGAACUAAAAGGUAACAGAAACUACGCGAAAACACAGAAGAGGUAUGAAAAAUAAUGGAAGGAGGAACUAGGGAAGGAGGAACUUACAUGGGGAUAGUGAUGAGGAACACUGGUGGGGGCAAUAAUGACAAACAGGUUUCCGUGCUCCGAAUGAGCAAGACAGACUUGAUGUGCGGGGGAUGCGACAGAGACACAAAUUAAAGGUGGUUUGAACUGCAGUCAAGUUCCUGGCAUGCACCUGAGCUCAUUUUGGAUUCUCAUGACAAAUGAGAACAGUCAGAAAACAACAUGCUGUUUGAGAAACCAAAAAGAAAAGGAUGGAACUGAGGCCAUCCACUCACAGCUCCUUUGUAUGUGAACAAUCAUUGCAACAUGAAACACCUGAUCAAUUAGAAGUCAUUGUGAGCCAAAUGUCCCAAUACAUAUUCUCACAUAAAAUGGUGGAUGGAACUCUGACAGUGCUGUUAUUCUUAGUUGUGCAAGUGUUGAAACAGA